RNAcentral lists this ribosomal RNA (301 nucleotides) under uncultured bacterium. Its description in RNAcentral is "partial 16S ribosomal RNA". It matches the Rfam family "Bacterial small subunit ribosomal RNA", at positions 509 to 809 of the family's 1533-position model. The record is from RNAcentral.
CAGUCGCCGCGGUAAUACGGAGGGCGCGAGCGUUACCCGGAUUUACUGGGCGUAAAGCGCACGUAGGCGGCUUUGUAAGUCAGAGGUGAAAGCCUGGAGCUCAACUCCAGAACUGCCUUUGAGACUGCAUCGCUUGAAUCCAGGAGAGGUGAGUGGAAUUCCGAGUGUAGAGGUGAAAUUCGUAGAUAUUCGGAAGAACACCAGUGGCGAAGGCGGCUCACUGGACUGGUAUUGACGCUGAGGUGCGAAAGCGUGGGGAGCAAACAGGAUUAGAUACCCGCGUAGUCCCUGUCUCUUAUAA